CAAGUCGAACGAUGACGUUCCUUCCGGAAUGGAUUAGAGGGGAACGGGUGAGAAACACAUGUCAAACCUGCCUUUCUUUUGGGGAUUACUCCGGCAAACCGGAGCUUACACCCAAUACUCCGCCUCGGCGGAAUCCUUGAGCCCUUCAAAACUUUUGAUGAUGGAUGGUCUCGCGUCCUAUCAGCUAGUUGGUGAGGUAAUGGCUCACCAAGGCGACGACCGGUAGCCGGCCUGAGAGGACGACCGGCCACACUGGAACUGAGACACGGCCCAGACUCCUACGGGAGGCAGCAGUGGGGAAUUUUGGACAAUGGGCGCAAGCCUGAUCCAGCCACUCCGCGUGAGGGAUGAAGGCCUUCGGGUUGUAAACCUCUUUCACUAGGGAAGAAGCCUUAUUGACGGUCCCUAAAGAAGAAUCACCGGCUAUUUAUGUGCCACCCCCCGCGGUUAUACAUAGGGUGCAAGCGUUGCCCGGAAUUAUUGAGCGUAAAGAGCUCGUACGUCGUUUGCCACGUCGAUUGUGAAAAUCUGAGGCUCAGACUCAAACCUGCCGUCGAUACCUGAAACUAGAGUGUGAUACUACAGACUGGAAUUCCUGGUGUAGCGGUGGAAUGCGCAGAUGUCAGGAGGAAUGCAAUGGAUAAGGCAGGUCUCUGGUCCAUAACUGACACUGAUGAGCGAAAGCGCGGGCAGCGAACAGGAUUAGAGGGCUGGUAGUCCGCGCCGUACACGAUGAGCACUAGCUGUGAAAACCGUCCACGAGUUGCUGGACGAGCAAAUCUCUUAGUGCGCAGCCUGGGCAGUACGAUCGCAGAUGGAGACUCACAGGAAUAGAUUA
RNAcentral lists this ribosomal RNA (838 nucleotides) under uncultured bacterium. RNAcentral's name for it is "bacterial SSU rRNA". It matches the Rfam family "Bacterial small subunit ribosomal RNA", at positions 58 to 916 of the family's 1533-position model. The record is from RNAcentral.